This 254-nucleotide ribosomal RNA is filed under the name uncultured bacterium. RNAcentral describes it as "partial 16S ribosomal RNA". It matches the Rfam family "Bacterial small subunit ribosomal RNA", at positions 524 to 776 of the family's 1533-position model. The record is from RNAcentral.
UACGUAGGGCGCAAGCGUUGUCCGGAAUUAUUGGGCGUAAAGAGCUCGUAGGCGGUUUGUCGCGUCUGCCGUGAAAGUCCGGGGCUCAACUCCGGAUCUGCGGUGGGUACGGGCAGACUAGAGUGCAGUAGGGGAGACUGGAAUUCCUGGUGUAGCGGUGAAAUGCGCAGAUAUCAGGAGGAACACCGAUGGCGAAGGCAGGUCUCUGGGCAUUAACUGACGCUGAGGAGCGGAAAGCAUGGGGAGCGAACAGG